Molecule: ribosomal RNA, 253 nt
Filed under: uncultured bacterium
Lineage: Bacteria
Description: partial 16S ribosomal RNA
Rfam family: Bacterial small subunit ribosomal RNA
Source: RNAcentral
UACGUAGGGGGCAAGCGUUAUCCGGAAUUACUGGGUGUAAAGGGUGAGUAGGCGGCAUGGUAAGCCAGAUGUGAAAGCCUUGGGCUUAACCCGAGGAUUGCAUUUGGAACUAUCAAGCUAGAGUACAGGAGAGGAAAGCGGAAUUCCUAGUGUAGCGGUGAAAUGCAUAGAUAUUAGGAGGAACACCAGUGGCGAAGGCGGCUUGCUGGACUGAAACUGACGCUGAGGCUCGAAAGCGUGGGGAGCAAACAGG